Long non-coding RNA from Passer montanus (Eurasian tree sparrow), 471 nucleotides. RefSeq lists it as uncharacterized. The transcript has 3 exons. The record is from RefSeq and is a predicted model, not a curated record. Lineage: Eukaryota; Metazoa; Chordata; Aves; Passeriformes; Passeridae.
AAAUAACAGGGUCUGAACAAACCACUGAAACUGAAUAGCCGGGUCGGUGAUUCCUUUAGCUCUGUAACAAAAACACAAAAUGUGUCACAAGACUCGGCUCCUGCAGGCUGCACUGCUACUUAUAAAGUAAGUGUUCCAUGAAACGAAAUCCUGUUGUUUCCAAGAGCUGUAACCUGAGAAGCCUGGGGCAGACAGCAGUGAAGACCCAAAUGAAGUGGAAACCCAUCAUGGCAAACAGACUGGCCUGACUGUGGCCAGACUGGCCUGACUGCAGAGCAUGAGAACCUAAUGACAACCUACAGAAGGAUGAUGUGUUUGGACAGCACUCCUUUCCAGGGCGCAGAAGAAAACCGAGCACGAAUCCCAAGACCAGAGAUGCAGAAUUUCUUUCCCGGUUUCCUUCCUGUCACAGAGCUGUCUGGAAUGUUUAGCACUGUGCACCCUGAUUUUCACAAACCGGGAGAAGCAGGC